Long non-coding RNA from Poecile atricapillus (Black-capped chickadee), 660 nucleotides. RefSeq lists it as uncharacterized. The transcript has 3 exons. NCBI's taxonomy places the organism in Eukaryota, Metazoa, Chordata, Aves, Passeriformes, Paridae. The record is from RefSeq and is a predicted model, not a curated record.
GAAUCUACAAUGGAGGGUGCGGAGGCCCCAACAGAGAUUUCUCCGCUCCACAGAGCCCUCCCUCAACCUUCACCAAGGUUGAGGCUGGACACAAUCCAACCCCUUCAUCACGGAGGAGUUGGAACGACGGAUGCGGAGGCCUCAAAUCCUCCGCUCCACCUACCCUACCCUUUCCUACCCUGCCCUUUCCUACCCUACCCCAGACCCCACCAAAUUUAUCCCCUGUCCCCCUCCCCACCCCACAUAAGGGGAGGAGGACAGAUCUCCCUUUUUUUCUUUUUUUUUUCUCCACAGAAAAUGAGGAUAUAAAUUAUCCUCGCUGCAAAGCAGCCACAACGGAGGGUGCGGAGGCCCCAACAGAGAUUUCUCCGCUCCACAGAGCCCUCCCUCAACCUUCACCAAGGUUGAGGCUGGAGACAAUCCAACCCCUUCAUCACGGAGGAGUUGGAACGACGGAUGCGGAGGCCUCAAAUCCUCCACUCCACCUACCCUACCCUUUCCUACCCUUUCCUACCCUACCCUACCCUACCCUACCCUACCCCAGACCCCACCAAAUUUAUCCCGUCCCCCUCCCCACCCCACAUAAGGGGAGGAGGACAGAUCUCGCUUUUUUUCUUUUUUUUUCUCCUUACAAAAUGAGGAUAUAAAUUAUCCGGAGGC